Molecule: ribosomal RNA, 815 nt
Filed under: uncultured archaeon
Lineage: Archaea
Description: bacterial SSU rRNA
Rfam family: Archaeal small subunit ribosomal RNA
Source: RNAcentral
GGGUUUGACUAAGCCAUGCGAGUCGAGAGGUGUAAGACCUCGGCAUACUGCUCAGUAACACGUGGUUAACCUGCCCUAAGGUGGAGAAUACUCCCGGGAAACUGGGGCUAAUGCUCCAUAGUGGAUAUGUCCUGGAAUGGUAUAUCCUCGAAAGAUCCGUCGCCUUAGGAUGGGACUGCGUCCGAUUAGGUUGUUGGCGGGGUAACGGCCCACCAAGCCAUUGAUCGGUACGGGUUGUGGGAGCAAGAUCCCGGAGAUGGAUUCUGAGACAUGAAUCCAGGCCCUACGGGGCGCAGCAGGCGCGCAAACUUUACAAUGCGAGCAAUCGUGAUAAGGAAACCCUGAGUGCCUGUCGAUGCAGGCUGUUCAUAUAUCUAAAUCAUAUGUGAAGAAAGGGCAGGGCAAGACCGGUGCCAGCCGCCGCGGUAAUACCGGCUGCUCGAGUGAUGGCCACUAUUACUGGGUUUAAAGCGUCCGUAGCUUGACUGUUAGGUCUCUUGGGAAAUCUUCACGCUCAACGUGAAGGCGUCUAAGAGAUACCGGCAGUCUUGGAACUGGGAGAGGUAAACCGUACUUCGGGGGUAGGAGUGAAAUCUUGUAAUCCUCGAGGGACGACCUAUGGCGAAGGCAGUUUACCAGAACAGCUUCGACAGUGAGGGACGAAAGCUGGGGGAGCAAACGGGAUUAGAUACCCCGGUAGUCCCAGCCGUAAACAAUGUGCGUUAGGUGUGUCGGUAACCACGUGUUACUGAUGCGCCGAAGAGAAAUCGUGAAACGCACCACCUGGGAAGUACGGUCGCAAGGCUGAAACUUAA